CCCUAUGGGGUGCAGCAGGCACUUCGGGACAGCGAAAAACGCUGGCAAUUCGCCCUAGAAGGGGCAGGCGACGGUGUCUGGGACUGGGACGCCACGACCAACCGCGUCCACUAUUCCAGGCAGUGGAAAACGAUGUUGGGAUACUCCGAGCAGGAGAUCGGAGACAACCUGGACGAGUGGGAGCGCCGCGUUCACCCCGACGACAAGGAUGGGGUGUAUAUCGAGAUCGGGCGUCAUUUCAGGGGCGAAACCGACAUCUACCAGAGUGAGCACCGCGUCCU
RNAcentral lists this ribosomal RNA (281 nucleotides) under uncultured prokaryote. RNAcentral's name for it is "partial 16S ribosomal RNA". The record is from RNAcentral.